UUUUCACGUAAACAAAUCGCGUAAGACUUGAGAAUAGAAUUAAGUUGAAGUGUGUAUGCAAAGAAUAAAAGUAAAUAUGCAAAUGUAAUGAUUCAAUUGGCUUUAAGAAACUAUGGAUGAAUGGAGUUGUUGGAGUUUACAAUUUCAUCUUAUCCACCCUCAUAUAUCUACUCUUCUUAUUUAAUUAGCUUAUUUAUCAUAUUGUCAUGCAAACUUUCUUGGUCUACCCUUAACCCAAUCCCUUGGUGAAAAGAGCCUAUUACUAAUUACCGACUUGCUAUCCCUAGCCUCC
RNAcentral lists this long non-coding RNA (292 nucleotides) under Vigna radiata. RNAcentral's name for it is "long non-coding RNA (VRAD_LNC006724)". Lineage: Eukaryota; Viridiplantae; Streptophyta; Magnoliopsida; Fabales; Fabaceae. The record is from RNAcentral.